UACGGGAGGCAGCAGUGGGGAAUAUUGCACAAUGGGCGCAAGCCUGAUGCAGCCAUGCCGCGUGUAUGAAGAAGGCCUUCGGGUUGUAAAGUACUUUCAGUCGUGAGGAAGGUGUUAAGGUUAAUAACCUUAGCAAUUGACGUUAGCGACAGAAGAAGCACCGGCUAACUCCGUGCCAGCAGCCGCGGUAAUACGGAGGGUGCGAGCGUUAAUCGGAAUUACUGGGCGUAAAGGGCACGCAGGCGGUUAAUUAAGUUGGAUGUGAAAUCCCCGGGCUUAACCUGGGAAUGGCAUUCAAGACUGGUUAGCUAGAGUCUUGUAGAGGGGGUAGAAUUCCAUGUGUAGCGGUGAAAUGCGUAGAGAUGUGGAGGAAUACCGGUGGCGAAGGCGGCCCCUGGACAAAGACUGACGCUCAUGUGCGAAAGCGUGGGGAGCAAACGAGGGA
RNAcentral lists this ribosomal RNA (445 nucleotides) under uncultured bacterium. Its description in RNAcentral is "bacterial SSU rRNA". It matches the Rfam family "Bacterial small subunit ribosomal RNA", at positions 340 to 779 of the family's 1533-position model. The record is from RNAcentral.